Sorghum bicolor (sorghum) is the source of this 4154-nucleotide long non-coding RNA. RefSeq lists it as uncharacterized. The transcript is spliced from 7 exons. Lineage: Eukaryota; Viridiplantae; Streptophyta; Magnoliopsida; Poales; Poaceae. The record is from RefSeq and is a predicted model, not a curated record.
UUAGUCCAUAAUUGAUAAUAAUUAUCAAAUACAAAUAAAAAUACUAUAAUAUCUAUUUUGUAAAAUUUUCACCACUAAACAUACGUUUACAAAUUUCCUCUAGCAUGCACCAACUUUAGCCGUCUGAUCUGAUCGAGCUCCUUCAGAUCGCUGACGAGUCACGAUCCACCCAUUCUGUUCCGCAUCCGUGCUCGCGCAAAUAGUCCCGGCCGCUGCCUCGCGGUCGCCUUCCUCUCGUCCGUCGAUGGCGGCGGCCGUCGCGCCUCCGCGGGGACAGCACAUCGAGGUACUGUUUGCCACUCACCUGAAUACCUGAUGCUUUCUGCCAUGCGGGGGUUGCAUACUGACCUUUUCUCAACAAUGGUUUGCUACUUUGCUGGGCCACUGAGAUGCUGCAAUUCCAAGUCUUUUAAACACGCCAAACUUCCAGCAUGAAGGGCACUUGAAAGAAAUUCCAAAUGCCCUGCAGCAGCAGCAGCCAUAAAGGCUCCUUUGUGAUCUCGGAUUAUGCGUCCCCAUCCUCCAGAUUUGCUAUUCUGCAAGAACGUGCCAUUACAAUUGAUUUUGUAAAACCCUUCUCGAGGUGGUCUCCAUUUUCCAUGUUUUGAUUCUGAGGGGGACGAAGCUGAUUUUAACUUUGUCAUUUGGCAAGAGUGAUACAAAACAGAGCUGCAUAGUUCUUCAGUUGUGUACUUCCUCUCCCCUUGGUUUGUUUUGUUUCUAACAUUCGACCAACACCAUAAGAGAAUGACCACUUUCAGCUUUAUUUCUUCUUGGAGAUAAGAAAUAAGAUCCAUGACAUCAAGAGCAGCUCCUUGAUUGGCCAUGUGCAUCCUCAGAUCUUCCAAGUCAAGACUUCUCCAAAGUCGAAACCUGUUUGACAGAUUUGCAAUUGAAAAAGAGGUGGCCACAGUCCUCAUCAAGGCGAUGGCACAUUGGGCAAAGGGUGUCCAGCUCUGUUACUCUCCUUUUGAUGUUUACUCUCACUGGAUGGCUGUUAUGCGCCAACCUCCACAUGAACACCUUGAUUUUGUUGGUGACAUUUAGACCCCAUAUUUUUUUAAAACAUGGAUUGAUCCAAUUUGCACAUUGAAGAUGAUGUGUCCGCCUUACAGAAAUGGCCGCGACGCUUGAUUGCCAAUGCAUAUGCAGACUUGGCAGAAAAUAAACCCUUUGGGGUCAGCACGCCAGGCAACUGUGUCUUCCAUGCCAUCUGGGACAAAGGUCUCUCUGAUUAGCUGAACAUCCCAAGUCCCAGUCAAUGGAUCAACCAAUUCAGCAACCUUGGUGAGGAGGGACCUGUUUCUGGGAGUGAUAACCUUUCUAGAGCCGUCUUCCCUGCGCCAUCCGUUUCUUAGUUAGUACAGCCUUUCUGCUCUGCCAUGUUGUGGCGAUUUGUGUUAUGUUUGCCCUCCGGGAUAGAUACAGCUCCUCGCCGUAACUAUCUUGAAUUUGUAAAUCUUCCUUAUUCCACUUAAUGAAGCACGUGCGAAGGCACGCUUUCAAAAAAAAAAAACCUUUCUAGUUCCACUUCUGGGGGUCCAUGGAUCAGACCAUUUUUUCACUUGGUUUCUGUCUAAUUCUCCAUAUUAUACCUUCCUUUAAUAGCCCCAUACCUCUCAGAAUGCUCCACCAUGUAUAAGAUAUUCCACCUUUAACAGUAGCUUCAAGAAGUUUUCCAGUUGGAAAAUAUUUGGCGCAUAAGCUGUCAGGUUGGGUAAGAAGACGCCACCCUUGUCUAGCUAACAUGGCCAAAUUGAAGGCAUGAAGGUCCCUAAAGCCCAGCCCCCCUAGAUUUUUUGACCUUGUCAGUUUGUGCCAUCCAAUCCAAUUAAUUUUGUUAACUCUUGCUGGCUCCACCAAUACCUCCCCCCUAUCAUAGAGCUAAUUUCAUAAUAUAAGCUUUUGGAAAGGUCAAAGCAAGACAAGUCGGAUAGAGCUCUACCAAACAAGGUCUAAUGUAGCAUGUGUACAAAUAUAUAUUAUAUAAUUUACUAAAAACAUAAGACAAAUACAUUUAAAAAGUAUUACAAGUAUUUUUAAAAUAAGUAAUAAACUCUAAAAGUGAUUUAAAAUAACUUACUAUCUAAAUACUUAUGCACUUUGCUCAAAAUUAUAGGGCCACGGACCACCCUCUAGCUACGCCCAUGCGGCUUACUAUAUUAUUUUUGCGAAUGCGCAACAACUUCCAUGUCUUAUGUUUUUCUUCCAACUUUGGCUCCCCAUAAAUCCCUGUGAAACACCAUUUUCUUCCAGAGUCUUCCUUCACCACCGCAUGAAUAUGAUAUCUAGAUAAGCUUUUUACUGUUAAAUCAACUUCUUUAUUCCAGAAGAGAUCUAGGCCUCCACUUAGCCCUUUACAAUCCUUCACAAUUAAGUUGGGCAUAUUAAGGAUCCAUCUGAACCUCUCAAUCCUGUUCCAAUCCAUUUUUGUUUCAGAGAGAAAGAGGAUGUCUGAGGAUUCAUACUUCUGGAGAUCCAGAAGCCCACAAACUGCCAAGGCAUUCCCCAAUUCAUACUUCUGCAGUUCCAAGCGAUUAUCCUCAUUUGGUUGGGCGGGAUUCCCCUGGCAACCUGGCCUUGCUAGCAAUAGUUUCAAUUGUUGUGCCAUCCGCUUUCAGUCAGUUAGCUGUCUUGACUGCAGUGUUAGAUGCAAUAACAUGAAAUGAAUGCAGUACAAUAUCACUCUCCUGAAUGUAUAUUUCUGUAUCUGUUUGACAACCUGCUUGGCACCUAAUCAGGUUGGUUCCUUAUCGACAUGGUAUGUAUUCUAAGCACAUGAUAAAAACCUGUUUGAUCUUUUUAGCUUCUAUAAAUAAUUCAUCUUAAUUCUACUUCUUGAAAAUACUUGUGUCUUGUAGCAUUUGCAUUGUUCAUUGAAUCUUCUGAGCUCUUUGUUCAUUCUAUCAUACCCUGUCCUACCUGGUCAUAUUUUGCUGGCAUAUUUUUCUGAAUCUUUGUUAACUGUUAAAAAUCUAUUGUUUCCCUCACUGGCUUAUUUAACUGCUAUAUGCCACUGCUGUAUAUGUUUUUGCUCUGUUUCAAAACUUUGUGAUGUUAAGUAGCAUCCGUGUGCAAGUUGGCAUGCCUAUAUUAUGCCCAGAUUGCUUAACUGUUUGAUCUAAUUUGCAAAUUGUCGUUUCCAUGUUAGCUUAUUGUUUUAUCAUUUUGAUUCGUUUGCACAAACUAGGAUCAUAAUGAGCUCCUUUUCUUUUGACCUACACUUUUCUAUCAACGUGUAUCCCUUUCAAGAGGCUCAUUAUUUGCUCACUGAGAAAACACAGAUCACAUGCCUGCUUCGCAAUAAAUUGUCUCAAGUAUCCAGUAAAAAAUAUUUGUUACAUUUAACUUCGCAUGAUCUUCAGUGCAUAUCUUUGACACUAGUGUCUUCUAGAAUAUAUUCCAAAUAUCCUUCAAAUUAUGAGAUUUUCCAAGUAUUUUUCAAUGCAAUCUACACAUAUACCCUAGACGUUUCCAAACUAAAGCAUUUGAGUUAUGGAUGUUUGUAUUCUUUAAGAAGAUUUGACCUAAUCUUGUUCAAAGCAACAUGUUUUUAUAAUCAGUGUAUAAAGUUGCUUGCUGCCUGACAUGCCAUCUGGGCAUAUAUGAUAUGAGUGCAGGUACUAUGCCGAAUCGUGAAGUGUUGUCAGACAGACAUAGCGUCCUCAUCACUGCGUCCGGAUUACAAACUCCAGCGUUUUCAUUUCCUGGCUCUUCAAUUUUAUACCUGCCUUUCUGCCUUUUUGCCUCGAGGACGGGCCUUCCGAGACACUGCGACAAUGCACUUGUCCACCCUCCAGAAAAUUAUUUACACGAGCUAGCUGCGCAAGAUCACAUCCAGGCGUACAUACGCACGGGCUAGCUGCGCAUGAUCCAGCCAUCCGAGCUAGCUGCGCGAGAUCAGCAGCUGAUCUAUGGUGCUCAGCAUCGGUUUCAGAAUUCACAUUUAUUUUUUGUAGAUAUAUAAGCUAGCCUUUUAUUUUGAAGAUAACAGAUAUUGUUCUGUUCUCUGCACCCCUGUAUAAUAAUGAAACACCGGAAACCAGCCGUACAAAGGGAAAGAAAUGAGAAAAGACUGAAACAAGGAUCUUUUAAUGGAUUUCCUUCGAUCUUAAUGAAAUCACGAAGUGUGAUCUAUAUGCUGCUGCACUUCA